Molecule: ribosomal RNA, 477 nt
Filed under: Candidatus Scalindua brodae
Lineage: Bacteria; Pseudomonadati; Planctomycetota; Candidatus Brocadiia; Candidatus Brocadiales; Candidatus Scalinduaceae
Description: bacterial SSU rRNA
Rfam family: Bacterial small subunit ribosomal RNA
Source: RNAcentral
UUCGCAAUGCCCGAAAGGGUGACGAAGCGACGCCGCGUGGGUGAAGAAGGCCUUCGGGUUGUAAAGCCCUGUCAGGAGUUAUGAAAUGUAGGUGCGAUAAUACCGUGCCUAUUUGACAAAGGCUCCAAAGGAAGCCACGGCUAACUCUGUGCCAGCAGCCGCGGUAAUACAGAGGUGGCAAGCGUUGUUCGGAAUUAUUGGGCGUAAAGAGCACGUAGGUGGGUUUGUAAGUCAGAUGUGAAAGCCUUCUGUUCAACGGAAGAAUUGCAUCUGAAACUGCGAGUCUUGAGUGUAGGAGGGGAGAGCGGGACUCUUGGUGGAGCGGUGAAAUGCGUAGAUAUCAAGGGGAACGCCGGCGGCGAAAGCGGCUCUCUGGCCUGUUACUGACGCUGAGUGCGCGAAAGCUAGGGGAGCAAAGAGGAUUAGAUACCCUUGUAGUCCUAGCCGUAAACGAUGGGCACUAAGUAGAGGGGUUUU